Molecule: non-coding RNA, 28 nt
Filed under: Bombyx mori (domestic silkworm)
Lineage: Eukaryota; Metazoa; Arthropoda; Insecta; Lepidoptera; Bombycidae
Source: RNAcentral
UGGUUAAAUUUGAACUUGUUGUUGUUGA